Molecule: transfer RNA, 90 nt
Filed under: Thalassobaculum litoreum DSM 18839
Lineage: Bacteria; Pseudomonadati; Pseudomonadota; Alphaproteobacteria; Rhodospirillales; Thalassobaculaceae
Also listed under: 3 other names
Description: tRNA_Ser_TGA
Rfam family: tRNA
About the family: Transfer RNA (tRNA) molecules are approximately 80 nucleotides in length. Their secondary structure includes four short double-helical elements and three loops (D, anti-codon, and T loops).
Source: RNAcentral
GGACGGGUGGCCGAGUGGUUGAAGGCAGCGGUCUUGAAAACCGCCAGGGGUGCAAGCCUCUCGUGGGUUCGAAUCCCACCCCGUCCGCCA